GACGAACGCUGGCGGCGUGCUUAACACAUGCAAGUCGAACGAUGAAGAAAAGAAUCGAAGCUUCGGCAGAAAUUCAUUUCGGAUUAGUGGCAGACGGGAGAGUAACGCGUGAGCAACCUACCUCUUACAAAGGGAUAGCCUCGGGAAACCGGGAUUAAUACCAUAUAACAUUGCGACGAAGCAUUUCGAUGCAAUCAAAGCUACGGCGGUAAGAGAUGGGCUCGCGUCCCAUUAACCGGAUGGUGAGGUAACGGCUCACCAUAGUGACGAUGGGUAACCGGCCUGAGAGGGUGAACGGUCACACUGGAACUGAGACACGGUCCAGACUCCUACGGGAGGCAGCAGUGGGGAAUAUUGCACAAUGGAGGGAACUCUGAUGCAGCGACGCCGCGUGAGUGAUGAAGGAAUUCGUUUCGUAAAACUCUGUUCUAUGGGAAGAAAAGGACUGUACCAUAGGAGAAAGCGCCGGCUAAAUACGUG
This 480-nucleotide ribosomal RNA is filed under the name uncultured bacterium. Its description in RNAcentral is "partial 16S ribosomal RNA". It matches the Rfam family "Bacterial small subunit ribosomal RNA", at positions 28 to 507 of the family's 1533-position model. The record is from RNAcentral.